This 460-nucleotide ribosomal RNA is filed under the name uncultured bacterium. RNAcentral describes it as "partial 16S ribosomal RNA". It matches the Rfam family "Bacterial small subunit ribosomal RNA", at positions 338 to 795 of the family's 1533-position model. The record is from RNAcentral.
CCUACGGGAGGCAGCAGUGAGGAAUAUUGGUCAAUGGGCGGAAGCCUGAACCAGCCAAGUAGCGUGCAGGAUGACGGCCCUACGGGUUGUAAACUGCUUUUAUACGGGAAUAACGCGCCUUACGUGUAGGGCUUUGCAUGUACCGUAUGAAUAAGGACCGGCGAAUUCUGUGCCAGCAGCCGCGGUAAUACGGAGGGUCUGGGCGUUAUCCGGAUUUAUUGGGUUUAAAGGGAGCGUAGGCCGCAAGUCAAGCGUGCUGUGAAAUGUCCGGGCUCAACCCGGGCCUUGCAGCGGGAACUGGAGUGCUUGAGUACGCGGAAGGCAGGCGGAAUUCGUCGUGUAGCGGUGAAAUGCGUAGAUAUGACGAAGAACCCCGAUUGCGAAGGCAGCUUGCUGCAGCGGAACUGACGCUGAUGCUCGAAAGCGCGGGUAUCGAACAGGAUUAGAUACCCCAGUAGUC